Molecule: ribosomal RNA, 467 nt
Filed under: uncultured bacterium
Lineage: Bacteria
Description: partial 16S ribosomal RNA
Rfam family: Bacterial small subunit ribosomal RNA
Source: RNAcentral
GAUGAACGCUGGCGGCGCGCCUAACACAUGCAGGUCGAACGAUUAAAGCACCUUCGGGUGUGUAUAAAGUGGCGAACGGCUGAGUAACACGUGGGCAACCUGCCCCUCUCAUUGGGAUAGCCACGGGAAACCGUGGAUAAUACCGAAUACUUCGGGACUUCCGCAUGGAAGACUCGAGAAAGCUCCGGCGGAGAGGGAUGGGCCCGCGGCCUGUUAGCUUGUUGGUGGGGUAAUGGCCUACCAAGGCAAUGAUGGGUAGCUGGGUUGAGAGACCGACCAGCCAGAUUGGGACUGAGACACGGCCCAGACUCCUACGGGAGGCAGCAGUGGGGAAUCUUGCACAAUGGGCGAAAGCCUGAUGCAGCGACGCCGCGUGCGGGAUGAAGGCCUUCGGGUUGUAAACCGCUUUCAGCAGGGACGAGGCGAAAGUGACGGUACCUGCAGAAGAAGCCCCGGCUAACUACGUG